GUGGGGAAUUUUGGACAAUGGGGGCAACCCUGAUCCAGCCAUGCCGCGUGUGUGAAGAAGGCCUUCGGGUUGUAAAGCACUUUCGGCCGGAACGAAAUCGCGCGGGUGAAUAUCCCGCGUGGAUGACGGUACCGGAAGAAGAAGCACCGGCUAACUACGUGCCAGCAGCCGCGGUAAUACGUAGGGUGCGAGCGUUAAUCGGAAUUACUGGGCGUAAAGUGUGCGCAGGUGGCCGCGCAAGUCGAGUGUGAAAUCCCCGAGCUUAACUUGGGAAUUGCGCUCGAAACUACGUGGCUCGAGUGUGGCAGAGGAAGGUGGAAUUCCACGUGUAGCGGUGAAAUGCGUAGAGAUGUGGAGGAACACCGAUGGCGAAGGCAGCCUUCUGGGCCAACACUGACGCUCAUGCACGAAAGCGUGGGGAGCAAA
RNAcentral lists this ribosomal RNA (426 nucleotides) under uncultured bacterium. RNAcentral describes it as "bacterial SSU rRNA". It matches the Rfam family "Bacterial small subunit ribosomal RNA", at positions 354 to 772 of the family's 1533-position model. The record is from RNAcentral.